GUCCACGCCGUAAACGAUGAGUGCUAGAUAUCGGGAAAUUUAUUUUUCGGUUUCGCAGCUAACGCAUUAAGCACUCCGCCUGGGUACUACGAUCGCAAGAUUAAAACUCAAAGGAAUUGACGGGGGCUCGCACAAGUGGUGGAGCAUGCGGUUUAAUUCGACGCUACGCGAAAAACCUUACCAACCCUUGACAUGGUGGUCGCGGGUCUCGGAGACGAGAUCCUUCAGUUCGGCUGGACCACACACAGGUGUUGCAUGGCUGUCGU
RNAcentral lists this ribosomal RNA (266 nucleotides) under uncultured bacterium. RNAcentral describes it as "partial 16S ribosomal RNA". It matches the Rfam family "Bacterial small subunit ribosomal RNA", at positions 793 to 1055 of the family's 1533-position model. The record is from RNAcentral.